Molecule: ribosomal RNA, 604 nt
Filed under: uncultured bacterium
Lineage: Bacteria
Description: bacterial SSU rRNA
Rfam family: Bacterial small subunit ribosomal RNA
Source: RNAcentral
GCAAGAUUAAAACUCAAAGGAAUAGACGGGGACCCGCACAAGUGGUGGAGCAUGUGGUUUAAUUCGAAGAUACGCGAAGAACCUUACCUAGCCUUGACAUAUUUUAGAACUCAGCAGAGAUGCAGAGGUGCCUUCGGGAGCUAAUUUACAGGUGCUGCACGGCUGUCGUCAGCUCGUGUCGUGAGAUGUUGGGUUAAGUCCCGCAACGAGCGCAACCCUCGUCACUAGUUACUAACGGUUCGGCCGAGGACUCUAGUGAGACUGCCUUCGUAAGGAGGAGGAAGGUGAGGACGACGUCAAGUCAUCAUGGCCCUUACGGCUAGGGCAACACACGUGCUACAAUGGCCAGGACAGUGAGACGCAAUACCGCGAGGUGGAGCAAAUCUAUAAACCUGGUCUCAGUUCGGAUUGUUCUCUGCAACUCGAGAACAUGAAGCUGGAAUCACUAGUAAUCGUAGAUCAGCUAUGCUACGGUGAAUACGUUCCCGGGUCUUGUACUCACCGCCCGUCACACCAUGGGAGUUGAUUUCACCCGAAGCGGGGAAGCUAAACUGGCUACCCUCCACGGUGGAAUUAGCGACUGGGGUGAAGUCGUAACAAGGUA